Molecule: ribosomal RNA, 497 nt
Filed under: uncultured bacterium
Lineage: Bacteria
Description: partial 16S ribosomal RNA
Rfam family: Bacterial small subunit ribosomal RNA
Source: RNAcentral
GAUGAACGCUGGCGGCGUGCCUAAUACAUGCAAGUCGAGCGAACAGACGAGGAGCUUGCUCCUCUGACGUUAGCGGCGGACGGGUGAGUAACACGUGGAUAACCUACCUAUAAGACUGGGAUAACUUCGGGAAACCGGAGCUAAUACCGGAUAAUAUAUUGAACCGCAUGGUUCAAUAGUGAAAGACGGUUUUGCUGUCACUUAUAGAUGGAUCGGCGCCGCAUUAGCUAGUUGGUAAGGUAACGGCUUACCAAGGCGACGAUGCGUAGCCGACCUGAGAGGGUGAUCGGCCACACUGGAACGGAAACACGGUCCAGACUCCUACGGGAGGCAGCAGUAGGGAAUCUUCCGCAAUGGGCGAAAGCCUGACGGAGCAACGCCGCGUGAGUGAUGAAGGUCUUCGGAUCGUAAAACUCUGUUAUUAGGGAAGAACAAAUGUGUAAGUAACUAUGCACGUCUUGACGGUACCUAAUCAGAAAGCCCCGGCUAACUACGUG